RNAcentral lists this ribosomal RNA (455 nucleotides) under Macromidia rapida. RNAcentral describes it as "partial 28S ribosomal RNA". Lineage: Eukaryota; Metazoa; Arthropoda; Insecta; Odonata; Corduliidae. The record is from RNAcentral.
GAAGAGAGAGUUCAAGAGUACGUGAAACCGUNUGGGAGUAAACGGGUGGUUCCCGAAAGUACGAAAGGGGAGAUUCAGGUCUUCGCCGCGCGUCGGGCGGCGCACGCGAUCCGAGAUGGUGUUCUCGCGGCCGUGGGGCAACCCACGGUCCGGGGNNNGCUCCACUCCGCGGGCGCCGUUUGAUCCCUUCGCCGGAGUGACGCACUUCUCCCCCAGUAGAACGUCGCGACCCGUCGGGCGCCGGCCUAAGGUCCCGGGUGGAGUCUGCGCGGCUUGCCGCGCACGACCCCGGGGUUNCCGGCCGGGUGCUCNACGGUACNAANAGAGGAAGNANUNGACGCNCCUCUCGUCNGCGUCCGACCCUCCGCAAGCGCCCGCGGGAGUCCGAGAUUCCGGGCCCGGCCCGGUCUCGGUCCCUCCGCGGGGCUGUUUGCGAUCAGGAGGUGUCCUCGGAC